GCCGGUGGCCAUGGUGGGGUGGAUAUACCCGUUCCCGUUCCGAACACGGAAGUCAAGCGCCCCUACGCCGAUGAUACUCCAGACCGGGGGAAAGUAGGCAGCCGCCGGCU
RNAcentral lists this ribosomal RNA (110 nucleotides) under Treponema sp. The record is from RNAcentral. Lineage: Bacteria; Pseudomonadati; Spirochaetota; Spirochaetia; Treponematales; Treponemataceae.